RNAcentral lists this ribosomal RNA (498 nucleotides) under uncultured bacterium. Its description in RNAcentral is "partial 16S ribosomal RNA". It matches the Rfam family "Bacterial small subunit ribosomal RNA", at positions 28 to 523 of the family's 1533-position model. The record is from RNAcentral.
GAUGAACGCUGGCGGCAGGCCUAACACAUGCAAGUCGAGCGGUAGCAGGCCUUCGGGCGCUGACGAGCGGCGGACGGGUGAGGAACACGUAGGAAUUUGCCUGGUAGUGGGGGAUAGCCCAGAGAAAUUUGGAGUAAUACCGCAUAUGCCCUGAGGGGGAAAGUGGGGGACCGCAAGGCCUCACGCUAUCAGAGAAGCCUGCGUCGGAUUAGCUAGUUGGUAGGGUAAAGGCCUACCAAGGCGACGAUCCGUAGCUGGUCUGAGAGGAUGAUCAGCCACACUGGGAAUGAGACACGGCCCAGACUCCUACGGGAGGCAGCAGUGGGGAAUAUUGGACAAUGGGCGAAAGCCUGAUCCAGCCAUGCCGCGUGUGUGAAGAAGGCCUUCGGGUUGUAAAGCACUUUAAGUGGGGAGGAAAAGCGGAGCGUGAAUAUCGCUUUGCCAUGACGUUACCCACAGAAUAAGCACCGGCAAACUCCGUGCCAGCCGCCGCCGUAA